RNAcentral lists this non-coding RNA (29 nucleotides) under Rattus norvegicus (Norway rat). Lineage: Eukaryota; Metazoa; Chordata; Mammalia; Rodentia; Muridae. The record is from RNAcentral.
UGCAGAAACCAUACUUUCUGUUAACCAGC